Panthera uncia (snow leopard) is the source of this 1030-nucleotide long non-coding RNA. RefSeq lists it as uncharacterized. The transcript is spliced from 4 exons. NCBI's taxonomy places the organism in Eukaryota, Metazoa, Chordata, Mammalia, Carnivora, Felidae. The record is from RefSeq and is a predicted model, not a curated record.
UAUAAAUAGCACACAGAACUUGUUCUUUAGGAGCUCCUGUUCUACUGAGGGAGAAGGACAUGUAAAUUAAUAGCUAUCAUCCCGUAGAAUAAUGUGGGCAGACAGAAGAGGUUCUGAACUCAAUGGUGGGAGAUGAAAAGGAUACAGGAUGGGGAAAGCAGAAACAGGACAGCUUCACACAGUAAUCGCAAACUGCUCUGAAUCUUGAAGGAAGAGUAAAAAAUUAGCCAGCAGAUCAGCCGGAUGAAGGCGGGAAGAGGAAGCCACUUGGCCGGGGUCAUGGAGGAGGUGUGACAGUGAAGGGUCUUCUGCUUCCACAUCCACAAGGCUUUGUCUUCUUUGCUUUGCUGACUCUUCCUCAAAUUUAGAGCUCCCCAAUGGAAGUCAGCCAGCCUUGACUUGGAUAUGUCAAACCCAUCUACUUUGGACCAUGAAAACUAGUGAAUUCACGCAAAAGAUCAGAGGUUAAGAACCUGCUGAAAGCUUUGCCAAGGUGAUGACCUCUCAGGCAAACCUCAGAAUGGAUUUGGUUUGGUCAGAUUCAGCCUUCCCUCUCCCAGGCCAUGUAAUCUUCAUCAUAUACCUGCAUUUUAUGGACAAGUCUGGCCUGUGUACCUUCCCUUUGAACUAAAAAUCUGGACUGGAGGCCACAGACAGUGAACCACCAGUGAGAACAGAAAAAUCUGGAAGAAUCUGGAAGGGUCUUGAAUCUGAAAGACAAAGAAAUAUGGUAAAGGUAAAUUAUUUCAUUCGACUCCCAGAUCAUGGGGUGCUGGCUCCCAGCAAGGGGCUGAAAAAUGGCGGGUAGCAUCAUUGUCAACAUUAUGACAUGCACCAUCUAUAAUCUGUGUGUACUUUCUCCAAUUCUCUUUCCUCUCCUUCCCUAUGUCACUUUGUUACCUCACAGAAUGGGGUUAAUGCUUUGCUAGGUAGGGGAAGGACUCACUCUUUAUCAAAUGCCUCCCUCUCUCACCAAACUUUAUUAAAAAAUGAAGACCUCUGCAUAUCUUUAUUCCCAAAUUUAAAACUA